CUGACGAGUGGCGGACGGGUGAGUAAUGUCUGGGAAACUGCCUGAUGGAGGGGGAUAACUACUGGAAACGGUAGCUAAUACCGCAUAACGUCGCAAGACCAAAGAGGGGGACCUUCGGGCCUCUUGCCAUCGGAUGUGCCCAGAUGGGAUUAGCUAGUAGGUGGGGUAACGGCUCACCUAGGCGACGAUCCCUAGCUGGUCUGAGAGGAUGACCAGCCACACUGGAAMUGAGACACGGUCCAGACUCCUACGGGAGGCAGCAGUGGGGAAUAUUGCACAAUGGGCGCAAGCCUGAUGCAGCCAUGCCGCGUGUAUGAAGAAGGCCUUCGGGUUGUAAAGUACUUUCAGCGGGGAGGAAGGGAGUAAAGUUAAUACCUUUGCUCAUUGACGUUACCCGCAGAAGAAGCACCGGCUAACUCCGUGCCAGCAGCCGCGGUAAUACGGAGGGUGCAAGCGUUAAUCGGAAUUACUGGGCGUAAAGCGCACGCAGGCGGUUUGUUAAGUCAGAUGUGAAAUCCCCGGGCUCAACCUGGGAACUGCAUCUGAUACUGGCAAGCUUGAGUCUCGUAGAGGGGGGUAGAAUUCCAGGUGUAGCGGUG
Molecule: ribosomal RNA, 599 nt
Filed under: uncultured bacterium
Lineage: Bacteria
Description: bacterial SSU rRNA
Rfam family: Bacterial small subunit ribosomal RNA
Source: RNAcentral